UUCGUUGUCUGUUCGACCUGA
RNAcentral lists this microRNA (21 nucleotides) under Malus domestica (apple). Its description in RNAcentral is "mdm-miR858". Its record names the gene mdm-miR858. The record is from miRBase by way of RNAcentral. Lineage: Eukaryota; Viridiplantae; Streptophyta; Magnoliopsida; Rosales; Rosaceae.